RNAcentral lists this long non-coding RNA (343 nucleotides) under Elaeis guineensis (African oil palm). RNAcentral describes it as "long non-coding RNA (EGUI_LNC031325)". The record is from RNAcentral. Lineage: Eukaryota; Viridiplantae; Streptophyta; Magnoliopsida; Arecales; Arecaceae.
UCUAAAAGUUGGAUAAGAGCAGAAAAUGAUUUUCUCGGGGGUUGCGAAUUGGUCUUGCACGAAACAGAGUUGUAUUUCUCUAAUGAUAUUAGAUACUUGUAAUUAGGCCUUAGGCAUAGAUUAUCUCUGCUUAAACAUGAUCCGUAUCCUUAGAUCACAGCUCGUCCCUUCGGACAUAAGCUAUUCUAGGGCUUUAUCUCGUAAGUAAAAAAAAUAGCAAUAAGAGAUCAAAGCUAGAAAGCACCGGUCUUUCCUCGACAUACUCCAUAUCCGUAGAUCACGAUGCAUCUCCAAAAAGUACGAGGUAUGCAACUUUUCUUUCCUCGGCACGUCCUAUACCCAU